Molecule: non-coding RNA, 24 nt
Filed under: Gossypium hirsutum (cotton)
Lineage: Eukaryota; Viridiplantae; Streptophyta; Magnoliopsida; Malvales; Malvaceae
Source: RNAcentral
AACGGAAGUCUACGGGAGCACGAU